RNAcentral lists this ribosomal RNA (1041 nucleotides) under Pseudoterranova decipiens (codworm). Its description in RNAcentral is "LSU rRNA". It matches the Rfam family "Eukaryotic large subunit ribosomal RNA", at positions 79 to 928 of the family's 3401-position model. Lineage: Eukaryota; Metazoa; Nematoda; Chromadorea; Rhabditida; Anisakidae. The record is from RNAcentral.
CAUAGUACGGCGAGUGAAGGGGAAGAGCCCAGCGCUGAAUCCAUCGAUCACUGGUCGCUUGGAAUUGUAGCGUAUAGGUGCGGCUAUCCGCUCGUUUCGUGCACCCAAAGUCCCCUUGAGCGGGGCCAUAGUCCAAAGAAGGUGCUAGACCUGUACGGGUGGCGAGGCGGUCGGUUGGUCGCUCCUUGGAGUCGGGUUGCCUGGGAUCGCAGCCCAAAGUUGGUGGUAGACCUCAUCUAAGGCUAAAUAUGGCCACGAAACCGAUAGCAAACAAGUACCGUGAGGGAAAGUUGCAAAGAACUUUGAAGAGAGAGUUCAAGAGGGCGUGAAACCGCCGAGAUUGAAACGGAUAGAGUUGACGAAACUCGAUCGCAUUCAUCCGAUCCGCCUAGCGGUUCGGCGGUUGUUGACUUCCUCGAUGAGGGCAACGCCGUCGCUGGCUGUUGGGUGUUAGAUUGGUGUAUUUGCGGUCGGUAUGCGCCGAGAGCUUUGCGAGCGCAUGUUGACGUUGAUGUAGUGGACCACUCCCUCCGGGCGUGGAACCCUGCAUUGAUUGAGGCAUGUCGUUCGUAGGGUGUUGCUGGGUGACGUCUCCGCUAUGGUGGGUCGGCUUUGUUGGGCUGUUGCGGUUGCUGGGUGAUCGCAUGCGAGCGCCUGCAGCUUGCGAUGGUACGAUGAGGUGCGGACGCGCUUGAGACGUGCAUCUCGGUGUGAACGUUGACCACCUAUCCGACCCGUCUUGAAACACGGACCAAGGAGUCUAGCAUAUGCGCGAGUCAUUGGGUGGUAAACCUAAAGGCGUAAUGAAAGUAAAGGUCGUCUUGUUACGGCUGAUAUGGGAUCUGUGCGGUUUUCGAGCCACGCAGCGCACCAUAGCCCCGUCCCGGUUGCUUGCAAUGGGGCGGAGGUAGAGCGCAUACGCUGGGACCCGAAAGAUGGUGAACUAUGCCUGAGCAGGAUGAAGCCAGAGGAAACUCUGGUGGAAGUCCGAAGCGGUUCUGACGUGCAAAUCGAUCGUCUGACUUGGGUAUAGGGGCGAAA